This 1117-nucleotide long non-coding RNA is filed under the name Salvator merianae (Argentine black and white tegu). Its description in RNAcentral is "lncRNA (ENSSMRG00000015776.1)". The record is from RNAcentral. Lineage: Eukaryota; Metazoa; Chordata; Lepidosauria; Squamata; Teiidae.
GUUUUCUUCUCCCUAAAAUGUAUUUGAAACAANCUUACACUUUUACUGUCAUCCCUGCUGCUUAGUUAAUUUCCCCCUCCUGCUAUAUGUAACCUAAGCUGGAAAUCUGGAAUGGCAGAAAGGCUCAUAUGAAGCAAAAACCUUGCCCUUUGUUUGUAUUUCUGUGCUAGAGUAUCUAGCAAAGCAUAUCAUCUAAACUGUUCUUUCUGCCUCCCUCAGUCCUGCGUUCGCCUGUAGAUAAAGCCAGUGGCAACUUGCAAAACCUCUAUCAAAGACCUGCUGAACACAGCUCUCUCUGGUUUUGACGAGGCUCUUUCUUUACUGGGCACUGGAUUUGGGAUUUCUCCCAUGUCCAACUCUGCCAGCCAAUGCUUCUUUCCUUCCCCGACUUCCUUCAAGGGGAGCUCCAACCUAAGGCAGGAAGUUGAGGAGACUGCCNAGGUGUCCAAGCAAAGAUGCACUUGGAUUAACUUCCUAACCUGCAGAUGCUUAUGCUCCUUGCCAUGUCAUGCCAACAAGACAGUGAAGCGCAUUGGGGCCGCUUGUCUGAUUUCCUUGCUUGGCUUGAUGGGAAACGUCUUCCUGGAUGUCCGUCAAACGCUGCAGUUGUGGAGAAAUGCUGAAGAGGUCCUGGCCAGACUUCCAUCGUGCCAAAGCUUGUUGGUUCUCCACCUUGCUGACCUCCUCCAAAAAUCCGGGAAGCCAGCUAAAAGCAAGGCUUCCAACAGCACCCCUUCGCCAGACCACCUGUUGGAGAACNUGGCCAUUUUAUGCAAAGAGUCCGAAGAAGCGUUCUGCAGCACGUACCAAGAGUGCAAGAAAGACGAAGACUUUGGGUGCCAUACUUUCCUCACCAAGCUAAGGGUGAANCUGAGGAGCCACCAAGGAAAAGAGUGGGCAUGGAGAAGGUUUAGAUCAGAAAUCCUGGAGAUCUUAGGCAGUCCAGAAGAGGACCUGAACGUUAUGGAUUUCAACUCUGACUGGGUGGAUGUAGCUUCUCUCCAAAUCGUAUUCAGAAUGAAAGGAGCCAUCCUGAAGUCCAAGCAGACGUCCUCCUCACCAUCUGAAGAUCUUCUAGCCCUUUGGCAUCAGCUGCGGGCUGCCAUCUCCUUCCCUG